AGAGUUUGAUCCUGGCUCAGGAUGAACGCUGGCGGCGUGCUUAACACAUGCAAGUCGAACGAACCUUCGGGUUAGUGGCGGACGGGUGAGUAACGCGUGAGAAUCUGCCCUCAGGAGGGGGAUAACGGCUGGGAACGGCCGCUAAUACCCCAUAUGCCGAGAGGUGAAAUGAAUUUCGCCUGAGGAUGAGCUCGCGUCUGAUUAGCUAGUUGGUGUGGUAAUGGCUCACCAAGGCUUCGAUCAGUAGCUGGUCUGAGAGGAUGAUCAGCCACACUGGGACUGAGACACGGCCCAGACUCCUACGGGAGGCAGCAGUGGGGAAUUUUCCGCAAUGGGCGCAAGCCUGACGGAGCAACGCCGCGUGAGGGAUGAAGGCCUCUGGGCUGUAAACCUCUUUUAUCAAGGAAGAAGAUCUGACGGUACUUGAUGAAUAAGCCACGGCUAAUUCCGUGCCAGCAGCCGCGGUAAUACGGGAGUGGCAAGCGUUAUCCGGAAUUAUUGGGCGUAAAGCGUCCGCAGGCGGUCUUGUAAGUCUGUCGUUAAAGCGUGGAGCUUAACUCCAUUUAAGCGAUGGAAACUGUAAGACUAGAGUGUGGUAGGGGCAGAGGGAAUUCCCGGUGUAGCGGUGAAAUGCGUAGAUAUCGGGAAGAACACCAGUGGCGAAGGCGCUCUGCUGGGCCAUAACUGACGCUCAUGGACGAAAGCCAGGGGAGCGAAAGGGAUUAGAUACCCCUGUAGUCCUGGCCGUAAACGAUGAACACUAGGUGUCGGGGGAAUCGACCCCCUCGGUGUCGUAGCCAACGCGUUAAGUGUUCCGCCUGGGGAGUACGCACGCAAGUGUGAAACUCAAAGGAAUUGACGGGGGCCCGCACAAGCGGUGGAGUAUGUGGUUUAAUUCGAUGCAACGCGAAGAACCUUACCAGGGUUUGACAUCCUGCGAAUCUCUUGGAAACGAGAGAGUGCCUUCGGGAACGCAGUGACAGGUGGUGCAUGGCUGUCGUCAGCUCGUGUCGUGAGAUGUUGGGUUAAGUCCCGCAACGAGCGCAACCCACGUCGUUAGUUGCCAGCAUUUAGUUGGGCACUCUAGCGAGACCGCCGGUGAUAAACCGGAGGAAGGUGUGGAUGACGUCAAGUCAUCAUGCCCCUUACAUCCUGGGCUACACACGUACUGCAAUGCUACGGACAAAGGGCAGCAAACUCGCGAGAGCUAGCAAAUCCCAUAAACCGUGGCUCAGUUCAGAUCGUAGGCUGCAACUCGCCUACGUGAAGGAGGAAUCGCUAGUAAUCGCAGGUCAGCAUACUGCGGUGAAUACGUUCCCGGGCCUUGUACACACCGCCCGUCACACCAUGGAAGUUGGCCACCCCCGAAGCCGUUACUCCAACCCUUGUGGAGGAGGAUGUCGAAGGUGGGGCUGAUGACUGGGGUGAAGUCGUAACAAGGUA
This 1443-nucleotide ribosomal RNA is filed under the name metagenome. Its description in RNAcentral is "bacterial SSU rRNA". It matches the Rfam family "Bacterial small subunit ribosomal RNA". The record is from RNAcentral.